UAGUUCCAUGGUAGAGCACUUGUCUAGCACACAUGAGACCCUGGGUUCAAUCCCCAG
RNAcentral lists this transfer RNA (57 nucleotides) under Fukomys damarensis (Damara mole-rat). It matches the Rfam family "tRNA", at positions 8 to 63 of the family's 71-position model. Rfam says of the family: Transfer RNA (tRNA) molecules are approximately 80 nucleotides in length. Lineage: Eukaryota; Metazoa; Chordata; Mammalia; Rodentia; Bathyergidae. The record is from Rfam by way of RNAcentral.